UGAGGAAUAUUGGUCAAUGGGCGAGAGCCUGAACCAGCCAAGUCGCGUGAAGGACGAAGGUAUUAUGUAUUGUAAACUUCUUUUGUCAGAGAAUAAAGACGAUCUCGUGAGAUUGGUUGCAUGUAUCUGACGAAUAAGGAUCGGCUAACUCCGUGCCAGCAGCCGCGGUAAUACGGAGGAUCCGAGCGUUAUCCGGAUUUAUUGGGUUUAAAGGGUGCGUAGGCGGAUGUUUAAGUCAGUGGUGAAAGUUUGGGGCUCAACCUUAAAAUUGCCAUUGAAACUGGAUGUCUUGAGUACAGUAGAGGUAGGCGGAAUUCGUGGUGUAGCGGUGAAAUGCAUAGAUAUCACGAAGAACUCCGAUUGCGAAGGCAGCUUACUGGAGUGUAACUGACGCUGAUGCACGAAAGUGUGGGGAUCAAACA
This 422-nucleotide ribosomal RNA is filed under the name uncultured Bacteroidales bacterium. RNAcentral's name for it is "partial 16S ribosomal RNA". It matches the Rfam family "Bacterial small subunit ribosomal RNA", at positions 355 to 774 of the family's 1533-position model. Lineage: Bacteria; Pseudomonadati; Bacteroidota; Bacteroidia; Bacteroidales. The record is from RNAcentral.